Molecule: long non-coding RNA, 2401 nt
Organism: Daphnia magna
Lineage: Eukaryota; Metazoa; Arthropoda; Branchiopoda; Diplostraca; Daphniidae
Exons: 2
Source: RefSeq, a predicted model, not a curated record
UUGUCAAGGACAUGCUCUCCGUAGUACAAGUUUGACGGUGAAAUGAACGAGUUUGUGCGUAAUGAUUUUUUAUUUGUUCAUUUGUUCGUUUUUUUUUUUUUUUUUGAGGGCAAAACUUGAACUGAUUUGCAGCAGUUUGUCGCCAGUGUUUUUAAGUGUUAGUAUGAAAAAUAGUAUGUUGUGUUAUCUGAUGUAUUUGCAUGUUUAUUGCGCGGGUUUUACCCGAAUUCCACGUUAUGUAACACAUCGAAAAGAUAGAACAAAGACUACACCUGGCUACAUUUUUCUUCACAGUACCUGCGCAUGGUUACAUGAAGCGAGAAGCAAAAUGCUGAUGCAUCGUUACUCAGUAUUACAAAGAAAAAAUUAAAAAAAAACAAUUAGUGAACCGAAGAACAUUAACUUGUGAUGUGGAACAGUUGGUUGGAAGGACGUUUUUAAAGUAAGCGCACAACCGCAUCAACGAAGAACCGCAGCGCGCAAUAAAGUUGCCAUGGACAUGGAAAUGCAGUUUUCCAACGCCAAAACAUUAAUCCGGGAAAUUGUGUAAGGGACAACAGCACUUUAAAAAAAAAAAUAGUCAAGAUGCAUCACUGGGUUCUCGUUAUUCGAAAGAGGCUCCCAACAAAGUUCUCAUGAAAGACAAAUUAAUUUUAUGGAGCGAGAUUUCUUGUUGUUUUUGUUUUUUUCAUGGAUUUUUUUUUUCUUCACCUUGACGUAUUUUAAUUCUUUUAAUUGACGAAAAAGACUAAUAUGGUUCUCUCUGCCUAAACAUCAACUUCUGCCAAGGCUCAGCCAUGGGUUUCUAUUGUUUGGAAAUUCCGGUUUAUUAUUUCAACAAGAAAACCAAGUGGCAACUACGGUGGGCAUUGCCAGUGACAGCUUGCAACCAAAAUGUAAAUAGCCUUCAGAUCAAACAGGAACUCUCAUUUGUACCUCAUCAUAUGCGUGUGCCAAAUGAAGUGGUUUACUAUGACAAACAAAAACAACUGUGUGUCCUUCAACAAUCUACGUCGCCAAACGCAGUUUAUCAAGCUGUCCAAUAGUGUGAAUUGCAUUCAAAUUUAGAUCGGACCAUAGCUGCGCAUAGCCGGCUUCUUUUCAUUGAAUCCUCAGCGGUUUCCUCCCAUUCGUUUGUAGUGAGGUUAUAGAGAACACGCAAAUACACACCCAAACAAUGAAUAAUGCCGAAAGGGAAACCAGAAUUACAGGUUCCAACUAUUGGCUAACACGUCAAAUUAUAUGACCUUCAAACAACUAACGAAGCUAUAUAUAUAUACAAACAACAUCAACGUCUUCAAACAUCUUUAGUAUUUGGAAUUUAAAAAAAAAAAACAAAAAACAUGCCAUCUGUCCCGUACAACAUUGAAAAGUUUCCUUGUGCAAUUCUUCGGCAUUGCUUUCUUGCGUAAUGUAAAGAAAUGUACUGGGUACAUGAACUAAUAAUAGCGUGUGAGUAACCUAAUAAUUACUUUGCCUGUUUUAUGUUUUUCACCUGCCGCGUUAUACAUUUGCAAGCACGAAAAGAUUGCUCCAGGCUGAACGUGAAGCAUCGGCAGACCUUGAGACGUCGCCUUGUACAAGUAAAAAUGUUUGAAUCAGCUAAGUAUAAUUGUAAAAUUGGACGCGCAAUAUAAUUUAACAUUACAGGAAAAGAAUCCUAGCUCGAAAGAUGACAGCUAUUUGUCUCGGUCUCGGCUCAUUCUUAUAGCGAUGUCUGAAACAAAGCCUAUAGCUUUAACGCAUAAUCAUUCUUCCGUUUUACGCAUCAAACGGUUUUUAUUUUGUUUCUAAAAAAAAAAAAAUUGCUGUUUCCAAAGCCUGGCUGAGUUGUGAGGUGUAUCCCACAGGUAAGCAAAAUUACUAUUUUUCAAAACCAUAGAUAGAAAGAAACAAAUUGAUCUAAAAAUUGCCGUAUCGUUUAUUGACGCAAAAGAGUUGAUAACUGAAACAUAAUACGAUAAGAGAAAGUAGAUGCAAGUGCCACAGAGUAGUGCUGGUUACAUUCAGUUUGACAGCUACAUUUAGUAUAGAAAAUGGCAAGCUGAAUGUUGGUGGAACAUUCCGUUUAGCCAUGAUGGCGUCCACCGUAUGCACCGUAGUUUCCGCCAGGACGUCCACCGUAGUUUCCAGCGCGAUAUCCUCCAUAGUUUCCACUGAUUCCCCCACGAUAUCCUCCGUAACUGGCUCUGUGAUUUUCAGCCGUUUUCAAGUCUGCAACGACAUCCUCUUCGACGGAGCGGCCAAACCGGAAUUUAUUUCCGCUGUGUCCCCCAUAUCCUCCAUAGCCGCUGUGUCCUGCAUAUCCACCACGUCCCCCGUAACCACCGUAUCCACCAAAACCACCGUACGCACCGUACCUGUUCUCAGCAGCAUCCAAAUCGGUCAUUUGAUCGGCUAG